Molecule: ribosomal RNA, 292 nt
Filed under: uncultured eukaryote
Lineage: Eukaryota
Description: partial 18S ribosomal RNA
Rfam family: Eukaryotic small subunit ribosomal RNA
Source: RNAcentral
GGUUGAUCCUGCCAGUAAUCAUAUGCUUGUCUCAAAGACUAAGCCAUGCAUGUCUAAGUAUAAACACUUUUAUACUGCGAAACUGCGAACGGCUCAUUAUAUCAGUUAUAAUCUACUUGAUCGUAUAAUCUUACUUGGAUAACCCUAGUAAUUCUAGAGCUAAUACAUGCGAAAGAAAUCGACUGGAGACGGAAGAUUUGUAUUUAUUAGAUCCAAAAUCAAUGCUAUCAGAAAUGGUAGGAAACAAUUGAUGAUUCAUAAUAACUAAACGAAGCGUUUGAUAAAUCGAACG